AGGAACCCUUACGUGGCAAAAUCCUAUUCGACCAUCCCUUAAUUUCUCUCUCUCCUUCGCCUCGCGAAACCAUCGACUAACGAAACCAGUUUGGCUUCCUCCUCCAUUCUCGAUCAAUCUGUCUCCAAUCUGAGAAACCGAAUCUAUUUGGGAGCUUAUCAAACGGCGAUCAACAACAGCGAUAUCCCUAACCUCUCGCCGGACGACGCUGUGGAACACGACUGCCUCGUCUUCCGCUCUUACAUCUCCCUUGGGAUGUGCUCUGUAUUCAUUGAUGAACGUGGCCGAGAUCCACAAGUCAAGGAGCGUGCAGAGACUGAUAUAUCUGUUCCACAUGCUCCUGUUCGAGGUUUGUUUGCUCAAAGGAGUGUGCAGAGACUGAUGUUUGCUCAAAUCUGCUACAAAAGGUCUUGGAGAGCAAAAGGCUAGUGAUUCAACUGAAGGCAAGGAUCAUGAUGACCACCUGGCAAGUAGGAAAAGUAUGCUUGAUGCUAUUGAACGUGAGUUUGAAGAUAUUUCAACACAUUCCUCUCUAUGAGUCUUGACAAAGUAUAUGAAUCCAAAUCAGAAUGUUAUAGGAAGAGUUUGCUUAUGUAUUAUUUUUCAUAUUCCAUGUAUCCAAUCAUUCAACUUUAGAAAAAAACUUAAUUUUUUUUUAAGAAACCUCAAUGAAGUUCUCCCA
Brassica napus (rape) is the source of this 682-nucleotide RNA transcript. It is a transcript of the gene named TSA1-like protein, with no coding region annotated. The transcript is spliced from 4 exons. The record is from RefSeq and is a predicted model, not a curated record. NCBI's taxonomy places the organism in Eukaryota, Viridiplantae, Streptophyta, Magnoliopsida, Brassicales, Brassicaceae.